GCAAACUUGGUCAUUUAGAGGAAGUAAAAGUCGUAACAAGGUUUCCGUAGGUGAACCUGCGGAAGGAUCAUUAAUGAAUUAAAUUCUGUCGGGUUGUUGCUGGUCUUUUACUCGGGACAAGUGCACGCUUGGCUCAAUUUAUCAACCACCUGUGCACCUUUGUAGACUUGGAUAAUGCUCGAGUGUCAAAACUCGGAUUGAGGGAUUGCUUCGCGGCUUUCCAUCGAUUUCCAAGUCUAUGUUUUUAUAUACUCUUGAUUAAUGUAUGUCAGUGCGCUAUCGAUAACAAUAAUACAACUUUCAACAACGGAUCUCUUGGCUCUCGCAUCGAUGAAGAACGCAGC
RNAcentral lists this unclassified non-coding RNA (344 nucleotides) under uncultured fungus. RNAcentral's name for it is "partial contains small subunit ribosomal RNA, internal transcribed spacer 1, and 5.8S ribosomal RNA". The stretch from base 1 to 73 matches the Rfam family "Eukaryotic small subunit ribosomal RNA", at positions 1759 to 1831 of the family's 1831-position model. Lineage: Eukaryota; Fungi. The record is from RNAcentral.